GAUGAACGCUGGCGGCGUGCCUAAUACAUGCAAGUCGAGCGAACGGACGAGAAGCUUGCUUCUCUGAUGUUAGCGGCGGACGGGAGAGUAACACGUGGAUAACCUACCUAUAAGACUGGGAUAACUUCGGGAAACCGUAGCUAAUACCGGAUAAUAUUUUGAACCGCAUGGUUCAAAAGUGAAAGACGGUCUUGCUGUCACUUAUAGAUGGAUCCGCGCUGCAUUAGCUAGUUGGUAAGGUAACGGCUUACCAAGGCAACGAUGCAUAGCCGACCUGAGAGGGUGAUCGGCCACACUGGAACUGAGACACGGUCCAGACUCCUACGGGAGGCAGCAGUAGGGAAUCUUCCGCAAUGGGCGAAAGCCUGACGGAGCAACGCCGCGUGAGUGAUGAAGGUCCUCGGAUCGUAAAACUCUGUUAUUAGGGAAGAACAUAUGUGUAAGUAACUGUGCACAUCUUGACGGUACCUAAUCAGAAAGCCACGGCUAACUACGUG
Molecule: ribosomal RNA, 497 nt
Filed under: uncultured bacterium
Lineage: Bacteria
Description: partial 16S ribosomal RNA
Rfam family: Bacterial small subunit ribosomal RNA
Source: RNAcentral